This 220-nucleotide non-coding RNA is filed under the name unclassified sequences. Its description in RNAcentral is "raiA RNA". It matches the Rfam family "raiA RNA". The record is from Rfam by way of RNAcentral.
UUAGCUUAGGUCUGUGGUUGAAAGUCGAUGCCAGUCGCAGGCGAAACGAUCCACGUAAGGAGUCUAAAAUGGGCUCUGAGCAUGGUGCGGCUUAGAGGUAAAGUCCUGCCGCCCCCGGUAAAGAAAUUUGGGCGAGAGAAGUAGUAGUGAGGAGAUAACACUUAGUAGCGAACCUCCCAGCAGGCGAGUGUGGGGUCAAAGACCAGGUCGGCUAAGCAAA